GGGCCGGUGCGGGUCGUUCCCCUCCGCUCCAAACUCCACACCUUUCCGCUUCGCACAAAGGCUGGAGUGGGGCAGCUUCCCCGGGGCGCUGCCCGCCGCCUGAGCCGCCCUCCCAGAGCCCGCCUGCCGGUGCUGCCGCCCCUGCGUGGUGCUCGUUGUCCCGCGCACCUGGCUGGCGGCGGGGGGCGGCUCGUGCGGGCUCGCCCUGCCCUUCCUCACCGCCGCGACCGUUAGUGUGACCGUUAGCGGCGGACAUUGAAAUGAAAAUAACUAUCCGUGCUCGACACAAAGAAGCUGAAGAUAAAAAAGAAAAUUUAAAUGGAAAGUGGAACCCUUAAAUAAUUUUCAAAGGACUACUUACCUAACAAUGGGUUCCAUGAAAUGCUGAAAGUUCAUCCACAUGUGAAGAACUCCAUGACCAAGACCUACAUUUAAAAAGUAGGAGGGAAAAAAGGAUCUUUGAAGCUAACCCUAAAAAGUGAUGAGAACUCUGGGGAAAUACAUACAAUGAAACACUUUAUAAUAUAAUGAAAAAAAGAAAGAAGCUAAUAGUAUGUGAUUCAUAUGAACUCAGUUUAUAGCUCUUAAAUCAAAAUCUGAAUUGAAAGACCUUCAAACUGGAUCAGUGUUUGAGGCAAAACUGGUGAGCAGCGUGAUCCAGCAGGCAGUCAUUAGACAACGUCAGACUGCAGGCCAGGACAUCAGACAGUAACACUGCCAUAAAAUGCAGAAAUUAUUUUAAACUUUUCUUGUUACUGGUAUUUGUGAACUGAAAUUGUUAUUCUUACUAAAAUAAUUUUAUUUCACAGACAGGUAUGGCUGUAAACAUGAGAUCAUAGAGUGAUGCUUAAAUUUUAGUGUCUACUCCAGAAAGCACUGAGAAAUUUAAGACAUAUGAGUUACUGGAGAGUGUAGUUAGAGUGGCUGCUUUCAGAUAAUUUCCAGCUGUGAUUUGUAAAUAACAUUUUUCUUUUCCUUCUUGCUUAAAGGUAAUUAUGGCUGUAUAAGAAAUUUAAGAAGGAAUAGUUUACCUUUUUCUCAUUUAGAGUGCUUGGCAAAGGAAAGCAUCUCACUUUAGAGGUGGAAAACCUGAGGAAUGAUGAGAUAAAGUUGCUUAUCCAUGAUUGCCUAGCAGUUCAGUGGCAAGAACAAGAAACAGAACCCAACAGAGCUGAUUAUAACAUGGUGUUUUCCUUGCAAUGAGGAAUUCUGAGAUUUUGGAAAAACUUUUGCUGAGCUGACAGAAGAAAGGUAAACCCCAAAUAUUUUCAUAGGACACAAACUGCCCUCUCCUUCUCCUGCCUGUUAAAGAGAGGUCUGUCUCAGGAGAAACAAGACUCAUAUCUUCAGCUAACCAUUUAUCUUCUGGAAGGCUUGUUGUCCCCUGGAGAGUAGAGUUGAUAGGAACCCCUUGCACAGGCUGCCAAAGUCUGAGUGCUGUGGCUCUCCCUGACACUGGCUUGGAGAAAAGAAGAUGGUUCUCUUCUCCCUCCCCACCCUGACUUCAGUUCUGUGGUUUUGGGCCUUGAAGAUAUUUGUCCAUUAUUUUGACUGUUUCCUGUGAGGAGAAACAGCCCCUUAUUCGUACGUCGGUCUGAAUAAUAUUUUGUCUGUUAAGCACCUGGCUUUUUACAGAGCCUGUCACAUUUUUCAUGUUCUUCUGUUGCCUACUAGGCCCUAAUUUUUUAAUUUUUUUUUUCUGGUAAGCUAGGGCCUGUGGGUCAGGUGCCCAGUGUGAUGGAUACUAUACAAAAACAUAGGAAAGGCAGAAUUCCUGGCACAAAGAGAUCAUUUGUGCCCCACAAUUUUGCAACUUUUAAAUGUGUAGAGCGGCAUUUGUGGAUCAUGUAAGGAGUAAGGCAGGGCCUUCCUUCCAUUGGUGGUGUUCUUUUGUAUAGACACAGGCAAACUAUCUAUGUACUCUUCCGUUCUGAUACUGCUACAGAGCUCAUUAAAUCUCCUUUUUGCAAGCAAGGCCUGAGGGCUAUUAAUUACUCAGUUUUCCAUGUAUAAAAUGGGAAGAAUGCUGCUAAUCUGUUGACAAGUCUGCAGGAAGCUGUCCAACUGUGAAAUGAUACUGAAAAUUUCAUUUUCUCAGAGAUAUUGUCAUCUCCACACUUUUUUCUUUUUUUUUUCUAAAUAAGUUAGGAAAGCUCUUCUCAUUACCAUGGAGACUAAUAUUUUAUUGCAAAGAUUGUAAUUGCAAGCAAGUUUCAAGGUUGCAAGCAGAUUUUCCAGAAAUCAGGUCAAUUGAUGAAGUACCUGCACUCGGUGUCGGCUGCUGCAGUGCACAUCACUUUCGUUCCAAGUCUUAUUUACAUUCCAUGCCCCAGGGCUUGGCUGCCAGCAAAUCAAUUGUGGAAUUGUUGUGCUGUGAUAGAUUCUGCACCAGGAUAAUAAAGGAAAAAUAACUUAACUGAAGGGUAAACUUGCUUGCAUCUACCCCAGGGUAUGUCGGAGUAGCAAGGUAUAAGCAGGCAGUGACUGCAAAGGGGUUGAUGCCCCACAAGAUCAUAUGUUGGCUUACCCAUAGCCGGUUGUUCCUGUAGCCACAGCAAAAGAUAGAUGGCUCAGUGCAUCACAAAUGAAGGCCUGCCUAAUAAUAAGCAUCUCUUGCAAUUAUUCAGUUUGAUUUACUGACAAAGGAAAAGAAAGAAAAAAGCUUACUGCCUUUUUUCCUCACUUUUUUUUUUUAACACACAAAAAAAGGUUAAUUAAUGUCAAAAAAAGGAUAAAAAGAAUAAGAAAUGGCUGCAGUCUGCACGCUGGAAGAUAUUAACAAUGCUCUUCAGUCCCACUCCCACUCCCAUGAAGAGCUUUCAGCAAGUUUGCCUCUUUGAACUUUCUGUAGAAACCUUCAGGCAGAAUCUAAGACACAGAGAUUUCUUGACUGCAUCCCGGUGGAAGGACGCUUCCACUCUUGUUUCUUACUUUUGUAAUUAUUCCCUUCCACAUGAGUCAGAAACUUCAAGAAAUUCUUCCACAGAUGCAGUGGCCUGCAUGCUAGAAAAUGAUCUAACAUAGUCCAGUCAUGGCUAUUUUUAAUAAAGAUAUCCAUGGCUUUAAAGCACCCUUGACAACCUACAUGCAUUUUGAGCAUCUAUAUAUUUUUCCAGUAUCUGCCUGAGGACCCAGUUCUGAAAAGUGCCAAGUACUCUUGCGUGUAUUGACUUUAGUGGCAGUAGCUGUAUAAAAGUGGAUCAAACCUUGGUGAGGAAGAUCGGAACCAGGCAGAACCAUAGUCCUAACUAGUAUCUACAGACAUUCACAUUAUCUUCUAAAGCUUCCUUUUCCAAAUGUGAUUAGUUUGGAAACCAUUUUGCAAGAUAUCAGCCGCCUCUGAGCAAGUUUGCUGUUUCACAGGAUCAAGCCUCGGUAACACCAUAUUUUUGACCUAAAAUGCCAACAGUCUGGUGUGUCACAAGGAUGCAAUCCUAUACUCACUUGGCUAAAUUAUCUCUUGGUACAACACUACAGUGAGGUGUCAGAAAAUAUGCUUGUGGAUGUUUAGUGGACUGACCUUUUGGAAAGAGAAAAUUAAUCCAAAAGGAGAAGUUUUCUGCUCACUAACAACAGAAAUAAAUGCAGAUGAAGGGCCUAAUAUAAGACUGCUAAACCUGUUCGAUGCGAAAUGGUAAUACAGGGGUUUAGCUGUAUUACCCUUGUUAAGUUCUGGGUUUCAUGAGAACUGAUAUUGGAACUUAAUAUUCUGAAAAUGUAUUUUAAAAUAUAUUAUUUUCUUAGUGUGUUUUAU
Phalacrocorax carbo (great cormorant) is the source of this 3754-nucleotide non-coding RNA. NCBI's taxonomy places the organism in Eukaryota, Metazoa, Chordata, Aves, Suliformes, Phalacrocoracidae. The record is from RefSeq and is a predicted model, not a curated record.